UGAAGAAAGUUGGAUUCGAACCAACGAUGGGAGUUCCCACCAGAUUUACAGUCUGGCACCUUCAACCACUCAGUCAUUUCUUC
This 83-nucleotide transfer RNA is filed under the name Halamphora calidilacuna. Its description in RNAcentral is "tRNA-Tyr". Lineage: Eukaryota; Bacillariophyta; Bacillariophyceae; Naviculales; Amphipleuraceae. The record is from RNAcentral.